Molecule: ribosomal RNA, 253 nt
Filed under: uncultured bacterium
Lineage: Bacteria
Description: partial 16S ribosomal RNA
Rfam family: Bacterial small subunit ribosomal RNA
Source: RNAcentral
UACAGAGGGUGCGAGCGUUAAUCGGAAUUACUGGGCGUAAAGCGUGCGUAGACGGUUAUUUAAGUCGGGUGUGAAAGCCCCGGGCUCAACCCGGGAACUGCGUCCGAUACUGGCAGGCUUGAAUCCGGGAGAGGGAUGCGGAAUUCCAGGUGUAGCGGUGAAAUGCGUAGAUAUCUGGAGGAACACCGGUGGCGAAGGCGGCAUCCUGGACCGGCAUUGACGCUGAGGCGCGAAAGCCAGGGGAGCAAACGGG